UGCUCUUUUGGCUCUUAUAUAAGAGCUGGUUCUUAGGAUUUAAGACAAUUAUUCAUAAUUUUGUAAGAAUUAAUGCUAAGAACCUCUUAAAAAUUUCCUAGAGAUGGUCUUAGCUCAACAUAAUGUAUAUAGUAUUUAAUUUAUUUAUAAUAUAUAUAUCACUAAAAACCAGGAAGAAAGAGCGAUUUUCUCUCUCUUCUCUCUCAUAAACUUUUCAGAGAGAGAAAGAUCGCUUAUGUUGCCGUCCGAAGCUCUUUCCGGAGAACGGACGUUCACAUUACAAACCUGCUCUGCAAAUCACAUUUUCUCGACCAAGAUGAUGCAGAAUCAAAUAUGGACAAUAUGGGUUAGUAUUCUCAUUGCGGCCCAAAAGCAAGCCUCAUGGAGUGUUUUUUUUUAUGUCCUACGAUUAAGUCGAUCCGAUUUAUAAACAUAAAAACUUAGCUACAAAAUUCAGAUAUGAAACACUUAUCUCCCCAUUUAAAAAGGGAGGU
Molecule: long non-coding RNA, 494 nt
Organism: Arabidopsis lyrata subsp. lyrata
Lineage: Eukaryota; Viridiplantae; Streptophyta; Magnoliopsida; Brassicales; Brassicaceae
Exons: 2
Source: RefSeq, a predicted model, not a curated record